UUGAACGCUGGCGGCAUGCUUUACACAUGCAAGUCGAACGGUAACAGGGAGCUUGCUCCGCUGACGAGUGGCGAACGGGUGAGUAAUGCGUCGGAACGUGCCGAGUAGUGGGGGAUAACGCAUCGAAAGGUGUGCUAAUACCGCAUACGUACUGAGGUAGAAAGUGGGGGACCUUCGGGCCUCACGCUAUUCGAGCGGCCGACGUCUGAUUAGCUAGUUGGUGAGGUAAAGGCUCACCAAGGCGACGAUCAGUAGCGGGUCUGAGAGGAUGAUCCGCCACACUGGGACUGAGACACGGCCCAGACUCCUACGGGAGGCAGCAGUGGGGAAUUUUGGACAAUGGGCGCAAGCCUGAUCCAGCCAUGCCGCGUGUCUGAAGAAGGCCUUCGGGUUGUAAAGGACUUUUGUCCGGGAGCAAAUGCCUGGUGUUAAUAGCACUGGGAGCUGAGAGUACCGGAAGAAUAAGCACCGGCUAACUACGU
Molecule: ribosomal RNA, 482 nt
Filed under: uncultured bacterium
Lineage: Bacteria
Description: bacterial SSU rRNA
Rfam family: Bacterial small subunit ribosomal RNA
Source: RNAcentral